Chelonia mydas (Green sea turtle) is the source of this 2133-nucleotide long non-coding RNA. RefSeq lists it as uncharacterized. Lineage: Eukaryota; Metazoa; Chordata; Testudines; Cheloniidae. The record is from RefSeq and is a predicted model, not a curated record. The transcript has 3 exons.
CUGCAUGUUUCUCCUUCCCAGAGGCUAGCAAAGAUUAGAAGGCGAAAAAAACGCACUCGUGAUGAAAUGUUCUCCGACCUCAUGCUGUCCUCCCACACUGACAGAGCACAGCAAAAUACGUGGAGGCAGACAAUGUCAGAGUGCAGGAAAACACAAUAUGACCGCGAGGAGAGGUGGCGGGCUGAAGAUGAUAUUGUGGAGCACACAGCAAGCAAUAAUAACAAUGAGGUCGGCUAAAAGAGCACCCUGGAGUACGGCAACAAUGGCUACCAAUAAUACUGCACUGUCUGCUGCCAAAGGCAAUGAGCUGCUGCUGUGUAGCAAUGCAGUACCGCGUCUGCCAGCACCCAGGAGACAUACGGUGACAGUGAGCUGAGCGGGCUCCAUGCUUGCCGUGGUAUGGCGUCUGCACAGGUGCUCCAUCCUCAGGGACCCUUCAGGGGAGACAAAAUUGAAGAAGAAUCUUAAACUUGGCAACUGAAUUCUCUGCCGCAGACUGAGACCCCCUGAGAAGUGAUCUCUUCUUUUCCAUGAAGAGAUCCUGAAAACAAAUACUGCAGGAGACUUUCUUUCCUCCAGCACAAAGUUUGUGUGGGAGUAAAUAAACCAGUGACAUCUUCUUUAUUUGAGAUGAGCCGUCAGUCUGUUAGGCAGUUUUGAAUCUAGCAGACAUAUGUGGGUUAUGUAGCUGUGGGGAGGUGGCACACCUCAGCAAACCUUGGUGAGUUUCAGUUCUAUCAUGAAAUGUGAAAUCAGUUGAGUUCUGCCUACUGACAGGGAAUUUGCUAUGAAGUUUUCACACAGGUCUUUGCCCUACAGCUAUUGGAGAUUUUCCUUUAACUAAACUAGCAGGGGCCUGGCUUUUUGUAGGAGAAAUGCCUGCAUUGCAAUUUUGCUGAUUACUGUGAUAAUCUGUUCAGGCACACUGUGCAGAACUGCUGUUUAGUUCUCUUGGUACCUCACUGACACCAUGCUCUUGCAUGGCAACAUCUGCGAGUAACGCUUUCUAACGUCUCUGGAUGGCUAGGAGACUCUGUCCCCUCCUGGCAGAUAGUGACCUUGCCUGAGUUAUCCAUUCCUUUGUCAUCUCUCAUCAUUGCUAUAGUACAGAUGAGAGAUGACAAAGGAAUAUAAGUCUACUGUGAGCACAUCAAAUGUGUCCUUCACUCUCUAGUCUCACUUCCCUUAGAAUACUGAGUCUAGUUCAAGGUUUUGGUCCUUAUCUUCAAGGCGCUCAGUCGCCUGGGCCCAGCAUAUCUAAUAGAUCGUGUAAAGCUCCAAGAUGAAGAGCAUUUUUUACAGCUCUGCUUCUCGGGUACAAUAGAACUUUCUACUGUAAGAGUAAAUCUCACCUGUGUAGGAAACAGGGCUUUCUCAGGGGCCUGUCCGAAACCAUGCAAUGAACUCCCACAAGAACUAAGAACCAUCAUAAACUUUCCACUCCAAGGGCAAAGUGUUCUUUUUCCACCUUGCAUUCUCUAAUAUAAACACAUAGCAACAUACAUAUCAAAGAAUUCCAAACAAAUAAAAUAAAUAUCCAACCAAAGAAAACACUCCACUUUACACACAAUUCUCUUCCUGGGGAGACAAUGAAAGGGAAAAAACAAAUCACACAUGCUCUGAUGUUAGGCAUGUCACAUAAUUCACUAGUGGAAGGUACUCAUAUACUAUGGUGAUGAGGGUGGUAUAAGACCCUAUGUGCAAUAGUAUAGAAUAGAAAUCAUUAUCUUAAAGUCCUUGCAACCUUGGAAGCAUUAUAGGUAAGGGAUUUCCAUUCCACACUGCAAGAGUGGAUGUGGGAUUAUUACUGAGGCCACUAUAGUGUGACCUAGGCUGGGUGAUAGAGAGAUAUGCCUUGCUGCAGAUUAGGUAUCUAGUAACAAGUUGCUUUGGAGGAUGUAUUAUUACAGGACAGUUCUCAUCUCAAGCUGAACUUGUUGGUUGUAGGCUUUAUUUUUGUCUGGCCUCAGAAUCUUGCAUUCAAACGCAUGCAAUCAAGAUUGUAACAUGAAUUAUUUCUCAAUAUGCCUACUCAGGGCAGCUCAAAGAUGCUGUAUUAACAACAUUCAUAUUCCAAUAAAUUGAAUGAUAUUUCCUCUCUGGAGCAAUACCAAAGAGGAAGAGGAAGUUUAC